Molecule: ribosomal RNA, 497 nt
Filed under: uncultured bacterium
Lineage: Bacteria
Description: partial 16S ribosomal RNA
Rfam family: Bacterial small subunit ribosomal RNA
Source: RNAcentral
AUUGAACGCUGGCGGCAUGCCUAACACAUGCAAGUCGAGCGAACGAAGGAGAAUCUUUCUUGUCUGAAGUUAGCGACGGAUGGGUAAGUCAUAGGAAGCUAACUGAUAUAUAGGACUAGCGUAACUUCGGGAACCCUAAUCUACCACAGGACCUUAUGUUGAAAGGGAGGGUUCAACAGAGAACACCGGUCUUGCUGACCCUUAUAGAUGGAACCUCGCUGCAUUAGCUAGUUGGUAAGGUAACGGCGUACCAAGGCAACGAUGCAUAGCCGACCUGAGAGGAUGAUCAGUCACACUGGAACUGAGACACGGUCCAGACUCCUACGGGAGGCAGCAGUGGGGAAUAUUCGACAAUGGGCGAAAGCCUGAUGGAGCCAUGCCGCGUGUGUGAAGAAGGUCUUCGGAUUGUAAAGCUCUGUAAGUUGGGAGGAACGGAUGUGUGUUUAUCUCUUCAUGUCUUGACGUUACCUAAAGAAAAAGCAACGGCUAACUUCGUG